GUCGAGCGAACAGAUGAGAAGCUUGCUUCUCUGAUGUUAGCGGCGGACGGGUGAGUAACACGUGGGUAACCUACCUAUAAGACUGGGAUAACUCCGGGAAACCGGGGCUAAUACCGGAUAAUAUUUUGAACCGCAUGGUUCAAUAGUGAAAGACGGUUUCGGCUGUCACUUAUAGAUGGACCCGCGCCGUAUUAGCUAGUUGGUAAGGUAACGGCUUACCAAGGCGACGAUACGUAGCCGACCUGAGAGGGUGAUCGGCCACACUGGAACUGAGACACGGUCCAGACUCCUACGGGAGGCAGCAGUAGGGAAUCUUCCGCAAUGGGCGAAAGCCUGACGGAGCAACGCCGCGUGAGUGAUGAAGGUCUUCGGAUCGUAAAACUCUGUUGUUAGGGAAGAACAAAUUUGUUAGUAACUGAACAAGUCUUGACGGUACCUAACCAGAAAGCCACGGCUAACUACGUGCCAGCAGCCGCGGUAAUACGUAGGUGGCAAGCGUUAUCCGGAAUUAUUGGGCGUAAAGCGCGCGUAGGCGGUUUCUUAAGUCUGAUGUGAAAGCCCACGGCUCAACCGUGGAGGGUCAUUGGAAACUGGGAAACUUGAGUGCAGAAGAGGAGAGUGGAAUUCCAUGUGUAGCGGUGAAAUGCGCAGAGAUAUGGAGGAACACCAGUGGCGAAGGCGGCUCUCUGGUCUGUAACUGACGCUGAUGUGCGAAAGCGUGGGGAUCAAACAGGAUUAGAUACCCUGGUAGUCCACGCCGUAAACGAUGAGUGCUAAGUGUUAGGGGGGUUCCGCCCCUUAGUGCUGCAGCUAACGCAUUAAGCACUCCGCCUGGGGAGUACGACCGCAAGGUUGAAACUCAAAGGAAUUGACGGGGACCCGCACAAGCGGUGGAGCAUGUGGUUUAAUUCGAAGCAACGCGAAGAACCUUACCAAAUCUUGACAUCCUUUGACCGCUCUAGAGAUAGAGUCUUCCCCUUCGGGGGACAAAGUGACAGGUGGUGCAUGGUUGUCGUCAGCUCGUGUCGUGAGAUGUUGGGUUAAGUCCCGCAACGAGCGCAACCCUUAAGCUUAGUUGCCAUCAUUAAGUUGGGCACUCUAGGUUGACUGCCGGUGACAAACCGGAGGAAGGUGGGGAUGACGUCAAAUCAUCAUGCCCCUUAUGAUUUGGGCUACACACGUGCUACAAUGGAUAAUACAAAGGGCAGCGAAUCCGCGAGGCCAAGCAAAUCCCAUAAAAUUAUUCUCAGUUCGGAUUGUAGUCUGCAACUCGACUACAUGAAGCUGGAAUCGCUAGUAAUCGUAGAUCAGCAUGCUACGGUGAAUACGUUCCCGGGUCUUGUACACACCGCCCGUCACACCACGAGAGUUUGUAACACCCGAAGCCGGUGGAGUAACCU
This 1400-nucleotide ribosomal RNA is filed under the name Mammaliicoccus lentus. RNAcentral's name for it is "bacterial SSU rRNA". It matches the Rfam family "Bacterial small subunit ribosomal RNA". Lineage: Bacteria; Bacillati; Bacillota; Bacilli; Caryophanales; Staphylococcaceae. The record is from RNAcentral.